UAGGGAAUCUUCGGCAAUGGACGAAAGUCUGACCGAGCAACGCCGCGUGAGUGAAGAAGGUUUUCGGAUCGUAAAACUCUGUUGUUAGAGAAGAACAAGGACGUUAGUAACUGAACGUCCCCUGACGGUAUCUAACCAGAAAGCCACGGCUAACUACGUGCCAGCAGCCGCGGUAAUACGUAGGUGGCAAGCGUUGUCCGGAUUUAUUGGGCGUAAAGCGAGCGCAGGCGGUUUCUUAAGUCUGAUGUGAAAGCCCCCGGCUCAACCGGGGAGGGUCAUUGGAAACUGGGAGACUUGAGUGGAGAAGAGGAGAGUGGAAUUCCAUGUGUAGCGGUGAAAUGCGUAGAUAUAUGGAGGAACACCAGUGGCGAAGGCGGCUCUCUGGUCUGUAACUGACGCUGAGGCUCGAGAGCGUGGGGAGCAAACAGG
This 429-nucleotide ribosomal RNA is filed under the name Gemmatimonadota bacterium. Its description in RNAcentral is "Gemmatimonadetes bacterium partial 16S ribosomal RNA". It matches the Rfam family "Bacterial small subunit ribosomal RNA", at positions 355 to 776 of the family's 1533-position model. Lineage: Bacteria; Pseudomonadati; Gemmatimonadota. The record is from RNAcentral.